UACAGAGGGUGCGAGCGUUAAUCGGAAUUACUGGGCGUAAAGGGUGCGUAGGUGGUUUAAUAAGUUAGCUGUGAAAGUCCCGGGCUUAACCUGGGGAUUGCGGCUAAUACUGUUGAGCUAGAGUCCUGUAGAGGGAGGUGGAAUUUCCGGUGUAGCGGUGAAAUGCGUAGAUAUCGGAAGGAACAUCAGUGGCGAAGGCGACCUCCUGGACAGAAACUGACACUGAGGCACGAAAGCAUGGGGAGCAAACAGG
Molecule: ribosomal RNA, 253 nt
Filed under: uncultured bacterium
Lineage: Bacteria
Description: partial 16S ribosomal RNA
Rfam family: Bacterial small subunit ribosomal RNA
Source: RNAcentral